UUGAAAGGGAAACGAUUGAAGUCAGUCGUACCGACGAGAAAUCAGCUUCUUGAGUGCGAUUUUGUGGGUAGUGAAGAGCUUAACGGCCUCCUUAUUUGCAAAUUUGUAUUCUAAUGGUGUAUUUUUUCGUAUGGUAGGUCAACAUCAAUUUUGAUCGUUAUAAAAUAAUUGGUGGAAUGUAGCUUCGGUCUCGUAUUGAAGUGUUAUAGCCCUUGAUAGAUGUAAUGAUCGAGAUUGAGGAUUGCAACGAAUACCUUUCGAGGCUAUUCGCCUGAUCUCUGGAAGUCACUUUGGUAUCGAAAGCGUGCUUUCGGUAUUGAGGAUGGUGACCAAAAGGUUAGAGCGUGAUUAAAUUCGUUAAGGAUGUUGACGUA
This 374-nucleotide ribosomal RNA is filed under the name Glomus sp. lpp8. RNAcentral describes it as "eukaryotic LSU rRNA". Lineage: Eukaryota; Fungi; Glomeromycota; Glomeromycetes; Glomerales; Glomeraceae. The record is from RNAcentral.